Molecule: ribosomal RNA, 465 nt
Filed under: uncultured Klebsiella sp.
Lineage: Bacteria; Pseudomonadati; Pseudomonadota; Gammaproteobacteria; Enterobacterales; Enterobacteriaceae
Description: bacterial SSU rRNA
Rfam family: Bacterial small subunit ribosomal RNA
Source: RNAcentral
CCUACGGGUGGCUGCAGUGGGGAAUAUUGCACAAUGGGCGCAAGCCUGAUGCAGCCAUGCCGCGUGUGUGAAGAAGGCCUUCGGGUUGUAAAGCACUUUCAGCGGGGAGGAAGGCGGGGAGGUUAAUAACCUCAUCGAUUGACGUUACCCGCAGAAGAAGCACCGGCUAACUCCGUGCCAGCAGCCGCGGUAAUACGGAGGGUGCAAGCGUUAAUCGGAAUUACUGGGCGUAAAGCGCACGCAGGCGGUCUGUCAAGUCGGAUGUGAAAUCCCCGGGCUCAACCUGGGAACUGCAUUCGAAACUGGCAGGCUAGAGUCUUGUAGAGGGGGGUAGAAUUCCAGGUGUAGCGGUGAAAUGCGUAGAGAUCUGGAGGAAUACCGGUGGCGAAGGCGGCCCCCUGGACAAAGACUGACGCUCAGGUGCGAAAGCGUGGGGAGCAAACAGGAUUAGAUACCCUUGUAGUC